GGAGAGGUGCAGGAGCGGUUUAACUGGCAGUCCUGGAAAGACUGUGUACCAGCAAUGGUACCGAGGGUUCGAAUCCCUCCCUCUCCGCCA
Molecule: transfer RNA, 90 nt
Filed under: Nitrososphaerota archaeon
Lineage: Archaea; Thermoproteati; Nitrososphaerota
Description: Thaumarchaeota archaeon tRNA-Ser
Rfam family: tRNA
About the family: Transfer RNA (tRNA) molecules are approximately 80 nucleotides in length. Their secondary structure includes four short double-helical elements and three loops (D, anti-codon, and T loops). Further hydrogen bonds mediate the characteristic L-shaped molecular structure. tRNAs have two regions of fundamental functional importance: the anti-codon, which is responsible for specific mRNA codon recognition, and the 3' end, to which the tRNAs corresponding amino acid is attached (by aminoacyl-tRNA synthetases). tRNAs cope with the degeneracy of the genetic code in two manners: having more than one tRNA (with a specific anti-codon) for a particular amino acid; and 'wobble' base-pairing, i.e. permitting non-standard base-pairing at the 3rd anti-codon position.
Source: RNAcentral